Molecule: ribosomal RNA, 471 nt
Filed under: uncultured bacterium
Lineage: Bacteria
Description: bacterial SSU rRNA
Rfam family: Bacterial small subunit ribosomal RNA
Source: RNAcentral
CCAGACUCCUACGGGAGGCAGCAGUGGGGAAUAUUGCGCAAUGGGCGAAAGCCUGACGCAGCGACGCCGCGUGAGGGAUGAAGGUCUUCGGAUCGUAAACCUCUGUCAGCAGGGAAGAACGGUCACUGUGCUAAUCAGCAGUGAAUUGACGGGACCUGCAAAAGAAGCCCCGGCUAACUACGUGCCAGCAGCCGCGGUAAUACGUAGGGGGCAAGCGUUAUCCGGAUUUACUGGGUGUAAAGGGAGCGUAGACGGAAAGGCAAGUCAGAAGUGAAAGCCCAAGGCUCAACCAUGGGACUGCUUUUGAAACUGUCAAACUAGAGUACGGGAGAGGUAAGAGGAAUUCCUAGUGUAGCGGUGAAAUGCGUAGAUAUCAGGAGGAACACCGGCGGCGAAGGCGGUCUGCUGGACAGCAACUGACGCUGAGGCGCGAAAGCGUGGGGAGCAAACAGGAUUAGAUACCCCCGUAAA